CUAAUGUCCCUCAAAAUGAGGGCCAUCCCGGCCAGAGUGCACACACCGAGGGCGGCGGGCAGAGGAGGCGGCAUCGCUGUGUGGACAAGAGCCAUGUGAGCCAGCUAACCUGUGAUGUCCUCCUCCUCCUCCUCCUCUUUGGACCAGGCUGUGGUUGUUUCGACUGCAACACUGCAGUCAGAUAUUGAGGAUCUGUUGUAUGUAGCCAACUGCAUCUCUGGUGAUGAUGUGGAAUCGGUGACUGUCACUGAGGUGCCUCAGGAUGUGUUUGGAGUGGGUGGC
This is a long non-coding RNA of Perca fluviatilis (European perch), 282 nucleotides long. RefSeq lists it as uncharacterized. Lineage: Eukaryota; Metazoa; Chordata; Actinopteri; Perciformes; Percidae. The record is from RefSeq and is a predicted model, not a curated record. The transcript has 3 exons.